RNAcentral lists this long non-coding RNA (22769 nucleotides) under Gossypium barbadense (sea-island cotton). RNAcentral describes it as "long non-coding RNA (GBAR_LNC013885)". Lineage: Eukaryota; Viridiplantae; Streptophyta; Magnoliopsida; Malvales; Malvaceae. The record is from RNAcentral.
CUUUAUUUGGAUAGUGUGGACAUUUCAACUCAAAGUGCUAAAUGGUGUGAAACCACAUCUCUUGUACUUCCAAACCUGCAUGUGUUGAGUCUGUCAAGCUGUGGUUUGAAAGGUCCAUUAUGUUCUUCUCUCUCAAGACUCUCUUUUCUUUCCAAACUUAUCCUUGAUGGGAACCCAAUCUCUUAUUUACCUCCCAAUUUCUUGGAAACUUCCUCUCGUUUGGUUUCUCUCAGUUUGAGUGGUUGCAAUUUGAAUGGCCAUUUUCCAACCGGAAUUCUCUUAUCGCCAAAAAUUCAAAGCAUUGACAUUUCAUUUAAUCCCCAACUUAUGGGUCAGUUGCCAGAAUUUCCAGCAAACAAUGCAUUACUGAGUCUGUCACUUUAUCAUACAAAUUUCAGUGGAAAACUACCUGAAUCGAUUGGUAAUCUUAAGUUCCUGAAAAAUUUAGAGCUUUCUUAUUGCAAUUUUUUUGGACCUAUUCCAUCAUCAAUUGCAAAUCUUAGUCACCUGGUCAACCUACUUCUAGCAGGGAACAAGCUUUCUGGAUCAAUACAUUCUUCUUUAUUUACUCUUCCAUCGUUGAAGAACCUGUAUCUUGGAGCCAAUCAAUUGGUUGGGAAAAUUGAUGAGUUCCCCAAUGCAUCUUCUUCUUCGAUUGAGAGAUUAUAUAUUAGCUAUAAUUAUUUAACAGGACCAAUCCCAAAGUCAAUCCUCCAACUUCCAAGGCUUGAAGUGCUUGAGAUCGGAGAAAAUAGCUUCAGUUCCCUGAAGCUUGACAUGUUUGUCCAACUCAAGAACUUAAAGGGUCUCGACUUAUCCAACGUAAGCUUGUUAAUUGAAAGCGACAACAGAAGUCUUACUUUUCCCCAAUUAGAGAGCCUAAGCCUAAGGUUAUGCAAUCUUACUGAAUUUCCAGAAUUCAUUAAAAGGCAAGGCAAGUUGGUUGACUUAGAUCUUUCUAACAAUCAUAUCCAUGGUGUUGUGCCUAAUUGGUUGUGGAAGAGCAGUCUUUCAUCCUUAGACCUUUCUUUCAAUGUGAUUGAUUUUCCAAAACAACUUCCUUUAAGUGAUGCAAACUUCUUUUUCCCAAUGUUGAGGCGAUUGUGUUUGAGGUCCUGUAACAUAAGUGCGUUUCCAGAGUUCUUAAAGAGUCAAGAAAAUUUAGAAUAUCUCGAACUUUCAAAUAAUAAAAUAAGUGGUGCAAUACCAAACUGGGUGUGGAAGAAAAGUUUGCGGUAUCUGUUUCUUGCUAAUAACCAUCUCUCAUCUUUGGACCAACUUUUACCCAAUCAGAGUUCAACUUCUUCACAGGGCUCUUUCAUUUUCGACACAUCUUCUAACAAUUUGAGUGGCCCAAUUCCAAAUUGGUUAUGCAAUAUGAGUCAACUUUACAGAUUCAAUGCAUCUUAUAACAAUUUUAGUGGCUCAAUUCCAAAUUGCUUGGACAAUAUGAGCCAACUUGACACUGUCGAUGUAUCUUAUAACAAUUUGAGUGGCCCAAUUCCAAAUUGCUUGGGCAAUAUGAGUGCUCUGAUGUGGUUGGGUUUGCAAGGAAAUAACUUCAGUGGAAUGAUACCAAAAUUUUCAAAAGCAACCCAACUGCGGUUUCUCAAAGUUAGUGAGAAUAGAUUGGAAGGGAAGUUGCCCAGAUCAUUAGCUGAAUGCACUCAGCUUGAAGUUUUGGACGUGGGAAACAACAAGAUGAAUGAUACAUUCCCUUUUUGGUUGGAGAAAUUGCCUUACUUGACGGUUCUAAUAUUGCGGGAAAACAGAUUUUAUGGUCAAAUUAAACAUUUCAAACAUAAAUCUGUUUUCCCAACUUUGGAUGUAUUGGACAUUGCUUCAAACCAGUUUUCUGGUGAACUAUCCAUUGAUUUCCUUCAACCCACUAGACUAAGGUCACUCAAAAUAGGUGGGAAUAAAUUGGAAGGGAAGCUGUCGAGAUCAUUAGCCAAUUGCACAGCACUUGAGGUUCUGGACCUUGGAAAUAAUAUGGUUCAUGAUACAUUCCCAUUUUGGUUAGAGAAGCUACCUUCCUUGAAGGUUCUCAUUUUGCGAGCAAACAGAUUCUACGGCACAAUUACAGAAUUCAACACAGAACGUGGGUUUCCAAAGCUACGCAUUUUGGACAUUGGUUCCAACAAAUUUUCAGGCGACUUGUCCGUUGAAUUUUUGCAAAGCUUGAAGGCAAUGAUGCAGAUAACAAAUGAGGAUAAAGCUAAGCGGGUUUACAUUGGGGACGACUAUUAUCAAGACUCUGUGACAAUUGUUAACAGAGGGAUUGAAAUGUUCUACCAAAGAGUCUUGACAAUUCUUACUUGUCUUGACCUUUCCAACAAUAGUUUCCAUGGGAGAAUACCAGAAGAAAUACAAAUGCUGAGGUCACUCAGAGUGAUGAACUUAUCCAACAAUGGCUUCUCUAGUGAAAUCCCAUUAGCACUUCAAAAUCUAAAAGACCUCGAAUCUUUGGAUCUCUCAAGAAACAAGCUGUCAGGGAAGAUUCCUCCACAACUUACAAGUCUAACUUUCCUGGCAGCAUUGAACUUGUCAUACAACCAACUUGAAGGGAGCAUACCACAAAGCAACCAAUUCAUUACAUUUACAAAUGAUUCCUACCGUGGGAACCCAAAAUUGUGUGGGCUGCCAUUGUCAAGGAAAUGCAAUGAAGUUGGUCUUCCAAUGCCACCACCUCCAGUGGAAGAUGAAGAUUCAUGGUUAAAUGCUCUGUCUACUUGGAAAAUUGCAUUGAUAGGUUAUGCUAGCGGAUUAGUCGUUGGGCUAUGUAUUGGAUAUACAGUGCUGAAUGAGUUGGGAAACAAAUGGGUUUACAAGUUCAAGUGUGGGAAAAGAAAUAGAAGAAGAUGUAGGUGACUCCAUCAGAAUUCUUGCUUCAAAAUUAGCUGGUAAGCAUUUGUCUUUCUACUUUGAACUGAUAGUUGUUGAUAUAUAUAUAUAUAGGUUUUCAUAACCUCAUUUUUUGCUGUCAUUACCAAGUUCACUAUCAUAUCGUACUUGUAAUUUUAUGUUACCAUUGAGCAAUGCAGGAGGUACUUGAAGCAGGACAUGGAAUGUACAGUUGUGAGGUUCAUGAAGAAUGUAGGCAAUGAUCCUAACAAGAUCAAUCCACUGGUUUGUAAUUUUGCUUUAUAUGCACUUUUUUCCUGUUGUAGUUUUCUAUGAGUAUAAAUAAGUGUUUAUUCAUUUUGCAUCCAGGUCCCUGUGGAUUUGGGGGAUGCAAUGUUUCACUGCUACUGAAUUUCCAAGCUAAUAAUGAUAUUAUAAACAGGGAAAUGGCUGCCCAAGCUUUCUUUUAUAUGCAAUUUACUUCAAUUUUUUUAUCUUUAGAAUAUUUGUACAGCUGAGGAGAUUUGAUGGCAUGAUGUUGAUGAAAGCCAUAUCUGAUGGACAUUGGACUGAUUGUGUAAAGAGACGCAGAUGCUGCUACUCCCAUCCUUUGCUCUUCCAAACAGACGUGAGUUUUAUAUUUUAUGAAUCACGUGUUGGGCUUUAGGACCGGGUGUAAAGGGUGGACCUGUUGGUCCGGGUUUUAGUUCAGCCCGUCACUUAUUUUUAUACUAGUUUAUUUAUACUUUCAAUGAUAGUUUUAUUAAUUUAAAAAAUAUGGUUGAAUUAAGUAAUAAUAUGAUAAAAUAAUAAUAAUUAAAAUUUAAUGAAAUAAAUUAUGUCUUAACUUUCCAAUGUUAGCGAAAGGCCAACAAUAUCUCACCUUAUUAUUUUCUUUGUUAAUCCAAAAUUAAAAAGUUCAAAUUAGAAUGUGAUUUAGAGUUUGAAGACUUAAUUAAAUUUUUUUGAAGUUUAGAGUUCAAUUUAACAUAUAAUCCAUAGUUUAGGGACAUCAAGUGAAUUAACCCUUUGAUAAAUCCUAACAUAUUCAUAAGUUGCAUACUCAUUAAUAAAUUAGGACUAAAAUGCUUAUUGGUAAAUUGAUUUCACAUAUAAGUUAAUAUAUUUUUGGGUGCUAUACCAAAGUUUAAUUAAAAGAUUUUAAUGGUACACUUUUACAUUUUAAAAAUUUAAAUUAUAUAUAAACAAUUAUGAUAUAAAAUCGAGACGGCCCACAUCUAAAAUAUUUUAAGCAUCAAAUACAUGAAAAAAAAAAUUCUAAACCCAAAUAUUUUAAGCAUUCGAAACAUUGGCAUUGGCAUCAAUUAGAACACUUGGAUUGGAUAAUGAAAAAAAAAAAAUCCAAACCCAUCUAUUUAACAACGGUAUGUUUAUUAUAUGAUUUUCAAUACAAAAUCAGAUAAUUAAUCGGACACUGUUGAGUUAACUAAUACUUACAAUGUUCAAUUAAAUGAUUUUUUCCAAAAAAAAUUAAUUGUUUAUAUUUCGAAUCCAAUUCAACCAAUAAAAAGCCAGUUAUAUUUGAAUGCGAAUGCAAAGCAGUGGAUAUAACGUAAGGGACUCAAUCCAAUUUGGCAUUCUAAAUGAUGUCUUAAUUACAAUGUGGUACGCUUUCCAGAGUUGGCAAACAACCUAAAGCACUUGUUUAAUUUAUCUUUGAAAAGUGAUAAAAAUAUUAAUAACUAAAAUUAAAAAACUGCAAGAACCAUUAUCUUUCACAAAUUAUUCAAAAUCAUAUGGUAUUUGUAGUCGUUGGCUUAUAUUUUGAAAAGAUUGAUGUUACAAACUAACUCUGAAUUUCCUAAGCUUAUUUUUUGUCCCUUGACACACUUCGCUAUCAUAUGGUAUUUGUAGUCGUAGGCUUGUAGCAUUGACAUUCAUUUUAUCAUUUCGCAAUGCAAGAGGUACUGAAACAGGCUAAGCUGAAACGGCUCAUUAGGUUUGCUACUCCAAAAGACUCUUCGAAAAGAGCAAUGAAAGAAGCGACAAAAGGGUCCUUGGCUGUUUGUGAUGAUGCACUUACAUAUACUCACUUCUAUACGAUUCAUGUAAAUCCUUUCUAUAACUUAUUUCCUAGGAAGCAUUCCUCUAUUAGAGCAACUAAUCCAUAAUUCUUAAAUCCAGAUACUGUAAUUGGUUUUUUUUUUUUUUCUCUCGAUUUUGUAGCAGGGGCCAAACUCCCCAAUGUCUUGGCUACCAAUCUUCUUUAAUUUAAUCGAACUCAUUUAUGGUAAGGAUGAGUUUUGGAAUGCUCUAUGAAUAUUGUGAGUUGAACAUGAGCAGCAUACUUGAUAUGCAAAAUCUAAUAUCAAGAAUCUCCCUUGUGAGGUUCAUUUUUGCUUCAAUUCACAGCCAUUUGGGGUACGUAAUUUGUCUCUAGCACUGAACUUUCAUGCCAAAUAAUGCUAUAUUAUAAACAAGGAUCAUGGCUUUUCCAAGCCUUCUUUAAUAUGAAUUUACUCUUUAGUUCAGAAUUUUAUUUUCAAAUUAUUUUUGUGCAGCUUGGAAGAUAAUAUGACGAGUUGAUGUUGAUGAAAGCCACAUUUAACACCGUGAUUCUGCAAAGAGACACCACUGCUAGAUGUGCCUCUUUGAAACAGGACAAGCUCAAGCAAAGAUCGUUAACUUUAUCUUUGAAAACAAUGGUAAAAGUUUCUAACUAAUUAUCUUUUCCUUGACAUCUUCUUUAAUCAUGCUUGAAUUAAGUUUAAGCAUAUGAAAGACAUGAUUGUUGGUAGAUAAAUGAGAAGCUUCAUGUUCUAAUUUUCAGGCUAAUGGUCUAAGAAGACAGUAAGGCGUGUUGAUUGCAGUUUGUUAUCUAUUCUAUGGAAAAGAAAACGUGCAUUGCCAACAUAAAGUACAGAAAGGAUAUGCAUAAGGUGCAAAGGCUUAUCACCGAAGCAAGUCUACAGCUUGUUUAAGGCGGCUCAUGUUCUCUUACAUGUAAUUUGCAUGAAAUCUUAUUAUCUUAGGAUUAUACUGGAGUGCCACCAGCAGUUGACCUCACUAGCAUGUGAGACACUGUUAAGAAUCUUGACAAUGAUCUUAACAAGAUUAUUCCACUAGUUUGUAAUUUUCCCUCUAUAUUUUACCAGUAGUAUAUAACUUAUUUACUUCUAUAUCUUGCAAUUUAUGCAGCCCCCGAGCAUGGUAUAGCUUGGUGUUGGUAGAUUCACAUUGUCCAAGAACUUACAAGAUGUUGAGAAAGCAUAGUGUUGGCAAAAUUUUUGAGUUUUAUGGUUAAGUCUAUGAUCAUAAAUCUUAAGAAUAGAAUGAUUUUACUAUAAAAAAUUUCAGGUUUAUAGGACUUUAUCAUCAAUGUAACUAUUUUUAAUGUGGUUAUAGGAGAGGGUGUGGCUGAAUUAUCAUUAGCUAAUCAUGGUCGAGCCAUAGUUGCAGACAUGGGACCUGAAUAAUGUGCAACCAUGGGUUGUCUUUCCUGUGGAUCAUACAGCCUUGCAAUUCCUUAAUUUAACCAGCAGGAGUGGUGACACAGUUCAUUCUCCGUCCAUUUUAUGCGUGGUGAUGACUCCAACAAGGUUUUAUGUUAUUAUUGCUACUAUUUUGUCUUUUUAAUAAUUUAGAUAUAAGAACAUUUUCAUAUAUAUAUAGAAUAAGGAUGAGACAGAAGGACUAAAAUACUGGCAUCAAUAACAACACUAAGACCAAUAAAAUCUCAUAUUUCAAAAUUAGAAUUGAAAAAAAAUAUAAAAGAUUGAAGAUGCAAAGCAAAUAAAUUAAGUGUGAAUUGAAAACCUUAAUGCUAAGACUAAGAAUAAAUAAUUCAUCCCUUAAGACUAAUAGCUUCAUCAUCAUCCUUUGCUGCGAUAUGACUCUGGCUUGAAUUUAAAGAAGCAAAUAUGAAGUACUCAUCAUGCGAGAGAAAAUUACUUAGCUAAGAGAAGAAAUCAUUUACUUCAACCAAACUAUCCCCGGUAGAAAUAAAAGCCAAAAGAAUUAGAUUCAUUCAAAACAAAAAAUUGUAGGGAUUAGUUUUAUAAUUUUACUUAAAUUUUCAUUUCAUCAGGAGGACGUGGGUUCGAAUAUGUUGAAGUGCAUUAUGCUCCUAUUUAUGGGUUGGGGAGAGACUAAGCGUAGUUUUAGGCAUUGUAUCAAAAAAAAAAGAUUUGAUCAGAACCUAUAAUGUGAAAAGUUGUUACUAAAAAGUUUAAAAAAUAGAAUUUUUAGUUUCCUUUUGUUUAUUUAUUAUUUUUUUCAUAAUAUCUUUUAUCUAUAUUUGAAGUGUUUUGGGUUUAAUUUUUAAUCAUUAUAAUCAAAAACCCAAUUUUGUACUAAUAAAGCACACCAUUGUUAGUUUUUAGUGUUAUUUUUGAGGUAUUAUAUAUUUGUAUUUGACCUAUGUUUAUAAUGGUGAUCAGACCCGUUUUUAAUAUUUUUGAGACCCUAGGCGAAACAAUAAAUCGGGGUCUUGUUUAAAAAAUUAUUAAAUGUAAUACAAAAAAAUGAACCUUUUUUAUUUUAUAUUUUUUCUGCCUGCAAUAAAUCAAAAGACUAAAAAAGUUAAAAAAAUUUCACGUUAAAAAUUAAAAAAAGAAACUUUUUGCCCUAAAGUUGGGCUGACGGAGACUAGAAAACAACCCAACAAAUUCCAAUAAAAUCUCAUACUACAAAAUUGGAAUUAACAAAUGGAAAAACAAAAAGACAUUGGUAAAGCAAAAUAAGUGUGAAACAUGAACAAAUUGACAUGAAGACUAAGAAGAGAGUAUGAAAAAUUUUAAAAUUGUAAUUUAGGAUGACUUUAAAAUAUGGGGAAGAUUCAUGAAAAUUAAAUGGGCCUGAAAUCAAUGAUUUUGCAGUUUCUCUUUGUUGAUUUGGUGGAUGUUUCCCACUACUUUUAAUGGUUCCAAUUAUAUACUUGGAAAUUGGAAUUACUUUUGCCACUCAUUUCUCAUGUUGGUUUGGCCAAUAAAAGAUUAUUUGCAUAAAGCAACAAUGCGGCAAUAGGCUGCAAUAUUUCCACAUGCCUCUCAAACUUUUUACUCCAAUUUUAAGGAUUUUUUUUAUUUUUUAAAAAUUAACAUAUUUUUCUACCUUUCUUCUUUCUCUUCUCAUCCUCUCUUUCUCAAUCUCACCUCCCCAAAAAAUGCAAAAUAAAAAAAAUUAUUUUAAUUUUUAAAAAAUAUAAAUUUUGGAAUUUUUAUGAAUUUUUUGAAUUUUUUGAAAAGUAUUUUAAAUUAUUUUGUAAUUUUUGUUGAGAGAUAUCAAUUUGUUAAAUUUUAAAAUUGACAAUGACCAAAGGAGCAUGUACACCAAUUUAUUGUAUGAAUUGUUCGGGUUAUUUAAAUUAUAAAAUUCAACUCGAAAAUCAAAUUAUAAAUAUUUUUAAUAUUAUAAAACAUAAAAAUAUUAAGAUUAAAUAAUAAUAUAGAAAAGGAAUUUUUUUUCUCCAAAUUUCUCAUCCAAAUACAGUCUAAGAAAGCUUGAAAGCUGAAAUUUAAAAAUAUUAUUAUCUUAACUCGAUUUAAAAUUUUUUUGAGUCAAGUCGAGUGCAAAGAAAUUAGAGUUGAAUUGAAUCGAGUGAAAUUGUUUGAGUUAAACUAAAAAUUUUAAUAUGUCAAAUUGAAAUAUUUUUAUGGUAUAAUUAAUUUUAUGUUAGAGCACAUAAAUUUGAAACCAUAUAUAUAUAUUUGAAAACUUUUGUUGAAAAUUUUUAAUAAUAUAAACUCGAAACUUGAAUUAUAAAAAUAUUUAAUAAUAUAAAACAUAAAAAAUAUUAAAAUUAAAUAAUAAUAUAGAAAUAAAAAUUUUUCUUCAAAUUUCUCAUCCAAAUACAGUCUAGAAAAGUUUUAAAGAUGAAAUUUAAAUAUGUUUGUUUCAAAAGUGGAAAAUUCUAUAUAUUGAAUCAUCAAAAUUUUCACUUAUUGUGUUCAUCAAUCCAGCGAAGACUUAACUUGUACACAUUUCUUUGAUAAAUUAUAACUUAUUUACAAAUUCGAUACUCAUUAACAAAUUGAUAUUAUAUUUUAAGUUAAAUUAUUUUAAAUUAUUUUGUAAUUUUUGUUGAGAGAUAUCAAUUUGUUAAUUUUUAAAAUUAAUAGGGACUAAAGGAGUAUGUAUAUCAAUUUGUUGUUUGAAUUAUUUGUGUUUUUCAUCAUAAAAUUCAACUCGAAACUGGAAUUGUAAACAUAAAGAGAGCCUAAGCCUAAGGUCAUGCAAUCUUACUGAAUUUCCAGAAUUCAUUAAAAGGCAACCCAAGUUGGUUGACUUAGAUCUUUCUAAUAACCAUAUCCAUGGUUUUGUGCCCAAUUGGUUGUGGAAGAGCAGUCUUUCAUGGGUAGACCUUUCUUUCAAUGUGAUUGAUUUUCCAAAACAGCUUCCCUUAAAUGAUGCAAACUUCUCAUUUCCAAUGUUGGCAGACUUGGAUUUGAGAUCCUGCAACAUAAGUGCGUUUCCAGAGUUCAUCAAAACACAAGACAAGUUGGUUGACUUAGAUCUUUCUAACAAUCAUAUCCAUGGUGUUGUGCCUAAUUGGUUCUGGAAGAGCAGCCUUUCAAGGGUAAACCUUUCUUUCAAUGUGAUUGAUUUUCCAAAACAACUUCCCUUAAAUGAUGCAAACUUCUUAUUUCCAAUGUUGACAGGAUUGGAUUUGAGAUCCUGUAACAUAAGUGCGUUUCCAGAGUUCUUAAAGAGUCAAAAAAAUUUAGAAGAAUUCGACGCAUCUUAUAACAAUUUGAGUGGCCCAAUUCCAAAUUGGUUAUGCAAUAUGAGUCUACUUUACACUUUCGAUGCAUCUUAUAACAAUUUGAGUGGCUCAAUUCCAAAUUGCUUGGUCAAUAUGAGUCAACUUGAAACUUUCGAUGUAUCUUAUAACAAUUUGAGUGGCCCAAUUCCAAAUUGCUUGGGCAAUAUGAGUGCUCUGAUUUUGUUGGGUUUGCAAGGAAAUAACUUCAGUGGAAUGUUACCAAAAUUUUCAACAGCAACCCAACUGCAAUUUCUGAAAGUUAGUGAGAAUAGAUUGGAAGGGAAAGCAAAGGCACGGCGGUGGUCACGCUGGUCGUGGUGGCGCGACGGCGAUCAGGGCCCUUUCGCUGCUGCUUUCUUGACCCUUUUUUUGCUUCUUUUUUUUUGCGAAAAAAACUGAAACCCCCCCUUCUCUUCAAUUUUUCUUUUUAAUCCCUCCAAAAUUGUCUUCUUCCUCUUUGUUUUUAGGUGACAGGGGAAGAAAAUCAUGGCCUAGGGAGCUGCCGGAGUAGCUGGAAGUGGCAGGAGCAUGCUUGGAUGCCGAUUGGGUGAUUUGACAAGUCCAGAAGGACCAAAAUGUAGAAGACACAAAAUAUUUGGGGUAAAAAUGUGAUUUGGGGAAAAUAUAGGGCCAAGAUGUAAUUUUUUGAAAUUUUAAGGGUCAAAGUGUAAUUUACAAAAUAUUAGGGGUCAAUAUAUAAUUUUUGAAAAAUUUAGGGGCUAAAAUGUAAUUUAUUUUUUUGUAUUUUUUCAAAGUUUUAUUAUUACUAUUAAUAUUUAAAACAUAAAUUAAAAAUGGACUAAGACAAUUCCAAUAUUAAAUCCUAAUGGGCCCAAUCAUUGGGCCCAUACGAGGCCGACCCGGCCCAAAAUUCUAACCGGGCAAAAUUUAGUGAUUACAGUUAUUUUUGUGCAAUCAAAAUUUGGACAUUUGCAUGCAAUGCCAAAGACUUAAGAUAUUUCAUACUAUCAUUUUUCCCGAUCCAAAGUUAAAGAUAUUAAAAAUUUUAAAUUAGAAUGUUAUUUAUAAUUUGAGAAUUUGAGAUAGAAGGUGAAUUAACACUUUGAUAAAUCAUAACAUAUUUAUAAGAUGGAUACUCAUUAACAAGUUGAUUUUAUAUUAUAAGUUAAAUUUUAUUUUUUUUGGUGUUAUAACAAAAUUACCUUAGAAGAUUACAUUGUAAUUUUUUUAUUUUAAAAAAUGAUGUAGAAAUAAUUAUGUAUAACAUAAAAAAUGAUAAAGUUUGGCCAAGUUUAAAAUAUUUGUAACAUAAUUUUUUCUACAAAGUCCAUACUUAAUAUAUAUAAUUUAAACUUAAAAUCUCGGUUGAAGUAUUAUCUUUGCUUAUUUUAUACGUAGUGACGGUUCCAAUAAGAUUUAAAGUACAUUAUUAUUACUAUAAAUUUGUCUUUUUUAAUGACUUAGAUAUAGAAGAUUAUUUAUAUAGACUAAGGAGUGGGCAAGAAAACUAAAACCUCGGCAUUAAUAAGAAAAAUGACAUCAAUAAUAUAUUAAAAUCUCAUUCUUCAAAAUCAAUAAUAUAUUAUUCUUUAAUAAUAUAUUAAAACGCAAAUUAAAUGUGAAUUUAACAACUUAUUUCUAAUACUAACAACAAAUAAUUUAUGCUAUAAAUUAUUUAUUAUUAGUAUUAUUAUUAUUAUCCCUUGCUGGAAAAGGUUAACCAAAAAGACUUAGCUAAAGUGGUGGAACAUUAUUUUGAUGCAGUAUUGACUGGGCAAAAAGACUUGGAAAUUGCGUGCUAUGCCAAACAUGAAAACUACACAUUUGUGUAUAAAUAAGUUGUAUGCCAAGCACAAUCCUUCUUCACACCCAACAAACAUGAACACUCUUCAUUUCCUUAUUUCACUCUUCCUCUUCUCAUGCGUCCUUUCUCUUGUCAUGUCUUUUUCACCUCCUCAAACUCAUCUCCCUAAGCAAUGCCUUGAUGAUCAGAGAGCUCCUCUCCUGCAAUUGCAGCGUCAUCUUUACUGUGCCCCUAAUUUUACUUUCUCUUCCAAAUUUGACCUCUGGGAUGUCAACACUGAUUGUUGUUCUUGGGAAGGAGUCACUUGUGAUGCUUAUGGUCAUGUCGUUGGCAUUGAUCUUAGCAAUAAAAACCUUUCAGGCAGGUUUCACCCCAUAUUCAAUCUCCAUCGUCUUCAACACCUUAAUCUUGCUGGAAACAACUUUAAUACCACUAUGUUUUCCCAUGGGUUUCACAAACUCCAAAAUCUAACCCAUCUCAAUCUUUCAAGCUCAUGUUUCCAUGGCCAAAUUCCAGUGGAGAUCUCAUACUUAACGAGGUUAGUGUCUCUUGAUCUAUCUAAUCAAGGUUCUUGUUAUUUGCGAUACUACGCCAUUCUUGACCCAUAUAGAGGCGUCUACACCUACAAUGAUCCAUUGCCUUACGAACUUCAACAGCCUCUUAAAUUAGAGAAUCCAAACUUCAAGACAUUAAUCAAGAAUUUGAGGUUUCUCACAGAGCUUUAUUUGGAUGGGGUAAACAUUUCAACUCAAAGUGCUAAAUGGUGUGAAACCACAUCUCUUGUACUUUCCAACCUGCGUGUGUUGAGUCUGUCAAACUGUGGUUUGAAAGGUCCAUUAUGUUCUUCACUCUCAAGACUCUCUUUUCUUUCCAAACUUAUCCUUGAUGGGAACCCAAUCUCUUAUUUACCUCCCAAUUUCUUGGAAAUUUCCUCUCGUUUGGUUUCUCUCAGUUUGAGGAACUGCUAUUUGAGUGGCCAUUUUCCAACUGAAAUUCUCUUAUCGCCAAAAAUUCAAAGCAUUGACAUUUCAUUGAACCACCAACUUAUGGGUCAGUUGCCAGAAUUUCCAGCAAACAAUGCAUUACUGAGUCUGUCACUUUAUUUUACAAAUUUCAGUGGAAAACUGCCUGAAUCGAUUGGUAAUCUUAAGUUCCUGACAAAUUUAGAGCUUUCUUAUUGCAAUUUUUUUGGACCUAUUCCAUCGUCAAUUACGAAUCUUAGUCACCUGGUCAACCUAUAUCUGGGAGGGAACAUGCUUUCUGGAUCAAUACAUUCUUCUUUAUUCACUCUUCCAUCAUUAAAGACCCUGUCUCUUGGAGAAAAUCACUUGGUUGGGAAAAUUGAUGAGUUCCCCAAUGCAUCUUCUUCUUUGAUUCAAGAACUAUAUAUAGGCAAUAAUUAUUUAACAGGACCAAUCCCAAAGUCAAUCCUUCAACUUCCAAGGCUUGAAUGGCUUUAUAUUGAAAGCAAUAGCUUCAGUUCCAUGAAGCUUGACAUGUUUGUCCAACUCAAGAACUUGAGGUAUCUGACUCUGUUCAACACAAGCUUGUUAAUUGAAAGCGACAGCAGAAGUCUUCCUUUUCCACAAUUAGAGAGCCUAACCCUAAGGUCAUGCAACCUUACUGAAUUUCCAGAAUUCAUUAAAAGGCAAGACAAGUUGGUUGACCUCGAUCUUUCUAACAGCCAUAUCCAUGGUUUUGUGCCCAAUUGGUUGUGGAAGAGCAGUCUUUCAUGGGUAGACCUUUCUUUCAAUGUGAUUGAUUUUCCAAAACAGCUUCCCUUGAAUGAUGCAAACUUCUCAUUUCCAAUGUUGAAAGAAUUGCGUUUGAGAUCCUGUAACAUAAGUGCGUUUCCAGAGUUCAUCAAAACACAAGACAAGUUAGUUGUGUUAGAUCUUUCUAACAACCAUAUCCAUGGUGUUGUGCCUAAUUGGUUGUGGAAUAGCUCUCUUUCAGGGGCAAACCUUUCUUUCAAUGUGAUUGAUUUUCCAAAACAGCUUCCCUUAAGUGAUUUAAACUUCUCUUUUUCAAUGUUGAGGGAAUUGUAUCUGGAAUCUUGUAACAUAAGAUCAUUUCCAGAGUUCUUAAAGAGUCAAGAAAAUUUAGAAUAUCUCGAUCUUUCAAAUAAUAAAAUAAGUGGUGCAAGUCCAAACUGGGUGUGGAAGAAAAGUUUGCGGUAUCUGUUUCUUGCAAAUAACCAUCUCUCAUCUUUGGACCAACUUUUACCCAAUCAGAGUUCAACUUCUUCACAAGACUCUUUCUAUUUCGACGCAUCUUAUAACAAUUUGAGUGGCCCAAUUCCAAAUUGGUUAUGCAAUAUGAGUCAACUUCGCGGUUUUGAUGCAUCUUAUAACAAUUUGAGUGGCUCAAUUCCAAAUUGCUUGAACAAUAUGAGUCAACUUGAAACUUUCGAUGUAUCCUAUAACAAUUUGAGUGGCCCAAUUCCAAAUUGCUUUGGCAAUAUGAGUGCUCUGAUUUGGUUGAUUUUGCAAGGAAAUAACUUCAGUGGAAUGUUACCAAAAUUUUCAAAAGCAACCCACGUAUAUAUUCUGAAAGUUAGUGAGAAUAGAUUGGAAGGGAAGUUGCCCAGAUCAUUAGCUGAAUGCACUCAGCUUGAAGUUUUGGACGUGGGAAACAACAAGAUGAAUGAUACAUUCCCUUUUUGGUUGGAGAAAUUGCCUUACUUGACGGUUCUAAUAUUGCGGGAAAACAGAUUUUAUGGUCAAAUUAAACAUAGAUUUGUUUUCCCAACUUUGGAUGUGUUGGACAUUGCUUCAAACCAGUUUUCUGGUGAACUAUCCAUUGAUUUCCUUCAACCCACUCGACUAAGGUCACUCAAAAUUGGUGGGAAUAAAUUGGAAGGGAAGUUGUCGAGAUCAUUAGCCAAUUGUACAGCACUUGAGGUUCUGGACCUCGGAAAUAAUAUGGUUCAUGAUACAUUCCCAUUUUGGCUAGAGAAGCUACCUUCCUUGAAGGUUCUCGUUUUGCGAGCAAACAGAUUCUACGGCACAAUUUCAAAAAUCGACACGGAGCGUGGGUUUCCAAAGCUACGCAUAUUGGACAUUGGUUCCAAUCAUUUUUCAGGUGACUUGUCCAUUGAAUUUUUGCAGAGUUUGAAGGCAAUGGCGAAGAUGACUAAGGACGAAAAGGUUAAGCGGGUUUACAUUGGGGACGUCUAUUAUAAAGAUUCUGUGACAAUUGUUAACAGGGGGGUUGAACUAUUUUACCAAAAAAUCUUAACUGUUCUUACUUGUCUUGACCUUUCCAACAAUAGUUUCCAUGGGAGAAUACCAGAAGAGAUACAAAUGCUGAGGUCACUCAGAGUGAUGAACUUAUCCAACAAUGGCUUUUCUGGUGAAAUCCCAUUAGCACUUGAAAAUCUAAAAGAUCUUGAAUCUUUGGAUCUCUCACAGAAUGAGCUGUCAGGGAAGAUUCCUGCACAACUUACAAGUUUAACUUUCUUAGCAGCAUUGAAUUUGUCUUACAACCUACUUGAAGGGAGCAUACCGCAAGGCAACCAAUUCAGUACAUUUUCAAAUGAUUCUUACCGUGGGAAUCCAAAAUUAUGCGGUCCACCAUUGUCCAAGAAAUGCAAUGAAGUUGGUCUUCCAAAGCCACCACCUCUAGGGGAAGAUGAAGAUUCAUGGUGAUAUGCUGUGUCUACUUGGAAAAUUGCGUUGAUAGGUUAUGCUAGUGGAUUAGUCGUUGGGCUAUGUAUUGGAUAUACAGUGCUGAAUGAGUUGGGAAACAAAUGGGUUGACAAGUUCAAAAAGUGUGGGAAAAGAAAUAGGAGGAGAUGUAGGUGACUCCAUCAGAAUUCUUGCUUCAAAAUUAGCUGGUAAGCAUUUGUCUUUCUAAUUUGAACAGAUAGUUGUUGAUAUAUAUAUAGGUUUUCAUAACCUCAUUUUUUGCUGUCUUUACCAAGUUCACUAUCAUACCGUACUUGUAAUUUUAUGUUACCAUUGAGGUACAUGAAUAAUCUAGGCAGUGAUCCUAACAAUGAUCCUAACAGCUGAGGAGAUUUGAUGGCUUGAUGCUGAUGAAAGCUUUUUCUGAUGGACAUUGGACUGAUUGUGUCAAGAGAUGCAGAUGUUGCUACUCCCACCCUUUGCUCUUCCAAAGAGACAUUAGCUUUAUAUUUUAUCAAUCACGUGUUGGGGUUUAGGAUCGGGUGUAAAGGGUGGACCUAUUGGUCCGGGUUUUAGUUCAACCCGACACUUAUUUUUAUACUAGUUUAUUUAUAGUUUCAGUGAUAGUUUUAUUAAUUUUAAAAAUAUAGUUGAAUUAGAUAAUAAUAUGAUAAAAAUAAAAAUAAAAAUAAAAAUUGUCACAGGGGCCUUUCAGUUUCGACGCAUCUUCUAACAAUUUGAGUGGCCCAAUUCCAAAUUGGUUAUGCAAAAUGAGUCGACUCGGCCGUUUUGAUGUAUCUUAUAACAGUUUGAGUGGCCCAAUUCCGAAUUGCUUGGGCAAUAUGAGUGCUCUCUAUUCGUUGGAUCUGCAAGGAAAUAACUUCAGUGGAAUGAUGCCAAAAUUUUCAAAAGCAACCCAACUGUCGUUUCUCAAAGUUAGUGAGAAUAGAUUGGAAGGGAAGUUGCCCAGAUCAUUAGCUGAAUGCACUCAGCUUGAAGUUUUGGACGUGGGAAGCAACAAGAUGAAUGAUACAUUCCCUUUUUGGUUGGAGAAAUUGCCUUACUUGACGGUUCUAAUAUUGCGGGAAAACAGAUUUUAUGGUCAAAUUAAACAUUUCAAACAUAAAUCUGUUUUCCCAACUUUGGAUGUAUUGGACAUUGCUUCAAACCAGUUUUCUGGUGAACUAUCCAUUGAUUUCCUUCAACCCACUCGACUAAGGUCACUCAAAAUAGGUGGGAAUAAAUUGGAAGGGAAGCUGUCGAGAUCAUUAGCCAAUUGCACAGCACUUGAGGUUCUGGACCUUGGAAAUAAUAUGGUUCAUGAUACAUUCCCAUUUUGGUUAGAGAAGCUACCUUCCUUGAAGGUUCUCGUUUUGCGAGCAAACAGAUUCUACGGCACAAUUUCAAAAAUUGACACGAAACGUGGGUUUCCAAAGCUACGCAUAUUGGACAUUGCUUCCAACAAUUUUUCAGGUGACUUGUCUAUUGAAUUUUUGCAGAGUUUGAAGGCAAUGGCGGAGAUGACUAAUGAUGAAAAGGCUACGCUGGAUUAUAUCGGAGAGAAUUAUUAUCAAGACUCUGUGACAAUUGUUAACAGAGGGAUUGAAAUGUUGUACCAAAAAGUCUUGACAAUUCUUACUUGUCUUGACCUUUCCAACAAUAGUUUCCAUGGGAGAAUACCAGAAGAGAUACAAAUGCUGAGGUCACUCAGAGUGAUAAACUUAUCCAACAAUGGCUUUUCUGGUGAAAUCCCAUUAGCACUUGAAAAUCUAAAAGAUCUUGAAUCUUUGGAUCUCUCACAGAAUGAGCUGUCAGGGAAGAUUCCUGCACAACUUACAAGUUUAACUUUCCUGGCAGCAUUGAACUUGUCAUGCAACCAACUUGAAGGGAGCAUACCACAAAGCAACCAAUUCAUUACAUUUACAAAUGAUUCCUACCGUGGGAACCCAAAAUUGUGUGGGCUGCCAUUGUCAAGGAAAUGCAAUGAAGUUAGUCUUCCAAUGCCACCACCUCCAGGGGAAGGUGAAGAUUCAUGGUUAAAUGCUCUGUCUACUUGGAAAAUUGCGUUGAUAGGUUAUGCUAGUGGAUUAAUCGUUGGGCUAUGUAUUGGAUAUACAGCGCUGAAUGAGUUGGGAAACAAAUGGGUUGACAAGUUCAAAAAGUGUGGGAAAAGAAAUAGAAGAAGAUGUAGGUGACUCCGUCAGAAUUUUUGCUUCAAAAUUAGCUGGUAAGCAUUUGUCUUUCUAAUUUGAACAGAUAGUUGUUGAUAUAUAUAUGUAUAUAUAUAGGUUUUCAUAACCUCAUUUUUUGUUGUCAUUACCAACUUCACUAUCAUAUCGUACUUGUAAUUUGAUGUUACCAUUGAGCAAUGCAGGAGGUACUUGAAGUAGGAAAUGGAAUGUACAGUUGUGAGGUUCAUGAAGAAUGUAGGCAAUGAUCCUAACAAGAUCAAUCCACUGGUUUGUAGUUUUGCUUUAUAUGCACUUUUUUCCUGUUGUAGUUUUCUAUGAGUAUAAAUAAGUGUUUAUUCAUUUUGCAUCCAGGUCCCUGUGGAUUUGGGGGAUGCAAUGUUUCACUGCUACUGAAUUUCCAUGCUAAUAAUGAUAUUAUAAACAAGGAAAUGUCUGCCCAAGCUUUCUUUUAUAUGCAAUUCACUUCAAUUUUUUUAUCUUCAGAAUAUUUGUACAGCUGAGGAGAUUUGAUGGCAUGAUGUUGGUGAAAGCCAUAUUUGACGGACAUUGGACUGAUUGUGUAAAGAGACGCAGAUGCUGCUACUCCCAUCCUUUGCUCUUCCAAACAGACAUGAGUUUUAUAUUUUAUGAAUCACGUGUUGGGCUUUAGGACCGGGUGUAAAGGGUGGACCUGUUGGUCCGGGUUUUAGUUCAGCCCGUCACUUAUUUUUAUACUAGUUUAUUUAUACUUUCAAGGAUAGUUUUAUUAAUUUUAAAAAUAUGGUUGAAUUAAGUAAUAAUAUGAUAAAAAUAAUAAAAAUAAUAAAAAUUUUAUCAAAUAAAUUAUUUCUUAAAAUCUAGUAUGCUUUCCAAUGUUAGCCAAAGGCCAACAAUAUCUCACACUAAUAUUUUCUUUGUUAGUCCAAAAUUAAAAAUUUCAAAUUAGGAUGUAACUUAUAGUUUGAGGGCUUAAUCAAAAUUUUUUUUAAAAAUUUAGAAAUCAAUUUAAAAUUUAAUCCAUAAUUUAAGGAAUUAACCUUUUGGUAAAUCCUAACAUAUUCAGAAGUUCCAUACUCAUUAAUAAAGAGUGAACCUGUUGGUCUAGGUUUUAUGUUAAUUUUAUCACGAAAUUUUAAUUUUAUUUCAUUUUAGUCCCGUGAGAAACGGUGCGCAUAAGGGCAAGGUAUAUUCUCCUAUUCGGUCCCUAUUCUUUUUAGCAUGUUAUAUUUUAAUUCUUAUUAGCCUUUUUUAUUUACAAUUUAUACUCCUUAAUUUUAUUCCGAUUUCAAUAUGAUCCUUAGUUUAUUUAACUUCAAUUUUUUUUACAAACUGUUUCAUUUAUUAUUUAUUUAUUUAUUUUCAAUUUUUAAUAAAAUGUUUUAUUGGUAGUCACCUUUUUAUUUAUUUAUUUACUUAUUGCUUCCUUUGUUUUUUAUUUUUAAUUGGCUUGCUUUUUGUAUUUUCCUUUUAUUGUGCAUUUUUUGGCGGCACUUACCACAAAGCGCCGCAAAUAGUAAGCAUUAGCGGCGUUUUGAAAUAAGUGCCACUAACUCUAAUAUACGUCAAGGCCAAACUCUGCGUUUUGGUUAGGAUACUUUGCGGCGCUUUCCACAAGCGCCGCUACUACUAUAGUUUAGCGGCGUUUUCCAAUAAGCGCCACUAAUUCUAAUAUACCUCAAGACCAAACUCCGCGUUUUGGUUAAGAUAUUUUGAGGCGCUUACAACCAAACGCUGCUAUUACUAUGCUUUAGUGGCGUUUUCCUUAAACGCCACUAAUUAUAAUAUACAUCAAGACCAAAACGCUGCGUUUUGGUUAAGAUGUUUUGCGGCAUUUAACGCUCAGCGCCGCUAAUACUAUACAUUAGCGGCGUUUUCUUUAUAAGCACCACUAAUUGUAAUAUACAUCAACACCAAACUCUGCGUUUUGGUUAACAUCUUUUGCGGCGCUUCCGCUAAGCGUCGCUAAUACUAUGCAUUACCGGCGUUUGUUCGUAAGCGCCACUAAUUCUAAUAUACAUCAAGACCAGAACACUGCGUGUUGGUCUUGAGAUUCUACGGCACUGUGUGGUAAACGCCACUAAUGAUGUUUUUUUUAUGGCGUUUGUUCGGGAAACGCCACUAUUCAUCCGACUUUUUGCGGCGUUUUAAAAGAAGCGCCGCUAAUGCUAGAUCUUUAGCGGCGUUGUAUUCUUUGCGCCACUAAUGCUCGAUUUUUAGCGGCGUUUGUAAUCCAAACGCCACAAAAUAUGCCGCUAAAAGCCUGUUCUGGUGUAGUGUUAGAGUUGAGCCCAUAAUUUGGGGUGUUGGAUUUAAUUAAACCCGUUGGUAGAUCAUAGCAUAUUUAUAAGUUGGGAUUUAGGAGUACUCAUUUAUUUUUGAUGAUUUUUAUGAGUGUUACAUAACAUCCUUUAUGUAUAUAUAUUUGAAGUUGUUUGAGUUUGAUAUUUAAUCAUUAGAAUUAAAAAUCCAAUUCUCUACUAAUAAAUCAAACAAUUGUUUUUUUUAGUGUUAUUUUUGAGCUCUUAUGUAUUUGUAUUUUACCUAUGUUUAUAGUGUUGACUGGUCAAAAUUAUAGGGUAUAUAAAAAACAUUAUUGUGUAAAAUUGUUUGAUUUAAAUUAAAAAAUAAAUAUGUCAAAUUAAAAUUUUAUUAUAGUAUAAUUAAUAUUUGAAAUCAUAAAUAUUAGAAAACUGUUUCAAAGCAAAAUAAUAAAAAAUUAUUAUAGUCUUUACAUAAUAUAAAUUUUAGAAUUUUUAUGAAUAUUUUAACUUUAAAAAUAUUUUAAUAUAUUUUUGUAAUUUUUGUUGAGAGAGAAUAUUAAUUUGUUAAUUUUUAAAAUUGACAAGAAUCAAAGGAGUAAAUAUAUCAAUCUGUUAUUUGAAUUAUUCGAAUUAUUUAAAUUAUAAAAUUCAACUCGAACCUCGAAUUAUAACUAUUUUUAAUAUUAUAAAAUAUUAAAAUAUUAAAAUUAAAUAAUAAUUAAAUAAUAAUAUAGAAAUGAAAAUAUUUCUCAAGCUUUAAGAAAGUUUGAAAGCUGAAAUUUAAAAAUGUAUCUUUCAAAAGUGAAAAAUUCUAUAUAUUCUAUCAUCAAAAUUUCCACUUAUUGUGUCCAUCAAUCUAUAAGGUGACUUGACUUGUACACAUUGGUUAAACAUUAUUUUUGUGCAAUAAAAACUUGGACAUUUGCAUGCAAUGCCAAAGACUUAAUACCUAAAUUAAAAGGCCUAUAAUAUUUCAUACUACAAUUUUUUCUGGUCCUAAAUUAAAGAUUUUAAAAUUUUCAAAUUAAAACCAUUAUGAUUUAAAAUUAUUAUAGUUUUUACAAAAUAUAAAUUUGAGAAUUUUUAUGAAUAUUUUGAUUUUAAAAAUUAUUUAAAAUUUUAUUUGAAAACUUUUGUUGAGAGAGAUCAAUUUGUUAAUUUUUAAAAUUGACAGGGACCAAAGGAGCAUGUACAUCAAUUUAUUGUUUGAAGUAUUUGAGUUAUUUAAAUUGUAAAAUUCAACUCGAAACUCGAAUUAUAAAAAUAUUUAUUAAUAUAAAACAUAAAACAUAAAAAUUAAAUAUUAAAAAAAUGACAUCAAUAAUAUAUUAUUCUCUAAUAAUAUAUUAAAACGCAAAUUAAAUGUGAAUUUAACAACUUAUUUCUAAUACUAACAACAAAUAAUUUAUGCUAUAAAUUAUUUAUUAUUAGUAUUAUUAUUAUUAUUAUCCCUUGCUGGAAAAGGUUAACCAAAAAGACUUAACUAAAGUGGUGGAACAUUAUUUUGAUGCAGUAUUGACUGGGCAAAAAGACUUGGAAAUUGCAUGCUAUGCCAAACAUGAAAACUACACAUUUGUGUAUAAAUAAGUUGUAUGCCAAGCACAAUCCUUCUUCACACCCAACAAACAUGAACACUCUUCAUUUCCUUAUUUCACUCUUCCUCUUCUCAUGCUUCCUUUCUCUUGUCUUGUCUUUUUCACCUCCUCAAUCUCAUCUCCCUAAGCAAUGCCUUGAUGACCAGAGAGCUCCUCUCCUGCAAUUGCAGCAUCAUCUUUACUAUGCCCCUCAUUUUACUUUCUCUUCCGAAUUUGACCUCUGGGAUGUCAACACUGAUUGUUGCUCUUGGGAAGGAGUCACUUGUGAUGCUUAUGGUCAUGUCGUUGGCAUUGAUCUUAGUUACAAAAACCUUUCAGGCAGCUUUCACCCCAUAUUCAAUCUCCAUCGUCUUCAACGCCUUAAUCUUGCUGGAAACAACUUUAAUACCACUCUGUUUUCCUAUGGGUUUGAUAAACUCCAAAAUCUAACUCAUCUCAACCUUUCAAGCUCAUGUUUCCAUGGCCAAAUUCCAAUGAACAUCUCACACCUAACAAGGUUAGUCUCUCUGAACCUAUCUUAUCAAGAUGAUUGCUAUUGGAGAAAUGGUUACGAUUAUAACUCAGCUACUUUAAAAUUGGAGAAACCAAACUUCAAGACAUUUAUCAAGAAUUUGAAGUUUCUCACGGAGCUUUAUUUGGAUGGUGUCGACAUUUCAACUCAAAGUACUAAAUGGUGUGAAACCACAUCUCUUGUACUUCCAAACCUGCAUGUGUUGAGUCUGUCAAGCUGUGGUUUGAAAGGUCCAUUAUGUUCUUCACUCUCAAGACUCUCUUUUCUUUCCAAACUUAUCCUUGAUUGGAACCCAAUCUCUUAUUUACCUCCCAAUUUCUUGGAAAUUUCCUCUCGUUUGGUUUCUCUCAGUUUGAGGAACUGCAAUUUGAGUGGCCAUUUUCCAACUGAAAAUCUCUUAUCGCCAAAAAUGCAAAGCAUUGACAUUUCAGAUAAUGACCAACUUAUGGGUCAGUUGCCAGAAUUUUCAUCAAACAAUUCUUUACAGAGUUUGUCGCUUUCUUAUACAAAUUUCAGUGAAAAACUACCCCAAUCAAUUGGUAACCUCAAGUUCCUGACAAAUUUAGAGCUUGAUGAUUGCAAUUUUUUUGGACCCAUUCCAUCGUCAAUUGCAAAUCUUAGUCACCUGGUCAACCUAUAUCUAGGAGGGAACAAGCUUUCUGGAUCAAUACAUUCUUCUUUAUUUACUCUUCCAUCGUUGAAGAUCUUGUAUCUUGGAGAAAAUCAAUUGGUUGGGAAAAUUGAUGAGUUCCCCAAUGCAUCUUCUUCUUUGAUUCAAGAAUUAUAUAUAGGCAAUAAUUAUUUAAAAGGAACAAUCCCAAAAUCAAUCCUUCAACUUCCAAGGCUUGAAUGGCUUUAUAUCCGAGACAAUAGCUUCAGUUCCAUGAAGCUUGACAUGUUUGUCCAACUCAAGAACUUAAAGGGUCUCUACUUAUCCAACGUAAGCUUGUUAAUUGACAGCGACAACGGAAGUCUUACUUUUCCCCAAUUAGAGAGCCUAGGGCUAAAGUCAUGCAACCUUACUGAAUUUCCAGAAUUCAUUAAAAGGCAAGACAAGUUGGUUGACUUAUAUCUUUCUAGCAAUCAUAUCCAUGGUGUUGUGCCCAAUUUGUUGUGGAAGAGCAGUCUUUCAUGGGUAGACCUUUCUUUCAAUAUGAUUGAUUUUCCAAAACAGCUUCCCUUAAAUGAUGCUAACUUCUCAUUUCCAAUGUUGAAAGUAUUGCAUUUGAGGUCUUGUAACAUAAGUGCGUUUCCAGAGUUCAUCAAAAC